AAAUAAUAUUUAUGUAAUUAUGGCAUAGCUUUCUCCCCACCUCAUUAUGCUAAGAAAGUAAUGAUUAAAUAAACACAAAUGCUUGAUCAAGGGCCUGGCCUGGCCUGGCCCGGCCCGGCCCGAGGAUAGUGGCAGAACAUUUCAGCCCGACCUAGCCCGGGCUCGGGCAAAG
Etheostoma cragini (Arkansas darter) is the source of this 172-nucleotide long non-coding RNA. RefSeq lists it as uncharacterized. The record is from RefSeq and is a predicted model, not a curated record. The transcript has 3 exons. Lineage: Eukaryota; Metazoa; Chordata; Actinopteri; Perciformes; Percidae.